UACGUAGGUGGCAAGCGUUGUCCGGAUUUACUGGGCGUAAAGGAUGCGUAGGUGGAUAUAUAAGUGAGAUGUGAAAUACCCGGGCUCAACUUGGGUGCUGCAUUUCAAACUGUAUAUCUAGAGUGCAGGAGAGGUAAGUGGAAUUCCUAGUGUAGCGGUGAAAUGCGUAGAGAUUAGGAAGAACACCAGUGGCGAAGGCGACUUACUGGACUGUAACUGACACUGAGGCAUGAAAGCGUGGGGAGCAAACAGG
This 253-nucleotide ribosomal RNA is filed under the name uncultured bacterium. Its description in RNAcentral is "partial 16S ribosomal RNA". It matches the Rfam family "Bacterial small subunit ribosomal RNA", at positions 524 to 776 of the family's 1533-position model. The record is from RNAcentral.